GGCUCCAUAGCUCAGGGUUUAGAGCAGUGGUAUCAGAAUCCAGGGGUCACAGGUUCAACUCUCACUGGGGCCU
This 73-nucleotide transfer RNA is filed under the name Chelonia mydas (Green sea turtle). It matches the Rfam family "tRNA". From Rfam's summary of the family: Transfer RNA (tRNA) molecules are approximately 80 nucleotides in length. Their secondary structure includes four short double-helical elements and three loops (D, anti-codon, and T loops). Lineage: Eukaryota; Metazoa; Chordata; Testudines; Cheloniidae. The record is from Rfam by way of RNAcentral.